GCCCUGCAGUAAUGCACUGAAGAGUGCAUGGCAGCACAUAUGUGCCUCAUGUGUCCUGCUGUGAUGCACCGAGUGGCACAUAGCGUUAUGGUGUCAAUCAUGUGUCUUGAUGUGAUGCACUGGUUCAGACAAUAUCACGAAGGCAAUGUUUCUUUAAAACUGUCAAAUUUGAGGAAACAAUCUAACAAAAGUCACUUGAUGAACAUUCUGUAAAGGUGACAUAAAUAUUUCAAAAAUGUCUCUGACAUCGAAAGAAAAAAACAAAAAGGGAGCUAGUCCAGAUUUUAAAACUAAAAGAUAUAGUAACUAAAAGCAGUUGUGGUGCUUGGAUAAAAACAAACAACAGAAGGUAUAAACAACAUUAUUAGACACACUGGGAAAAACUUUAUAUGGACCAUGUAUUCGAUAACGGUGCUGUGUUAUUGUUAAAUUUCCUUCGUGUGGUAACUGAAGGGGAAUGAUUUUGUUCUCAACAGAUAAUGCUCAAGUAUUUGGGGGCAAAAUUUCACAAUGACUAACUUCCAAAAUGGUUCAGUCAAAAGAAUGACAUAUGUGCAAUUAAAAGGGGAAAAUAAGUGUGACAAAAUGCCAACGACAGUUGAAUUGUCAUGUGGGAACUCACUGGACUAUUCUAGAAACAUUUCUGUAGCUUUAAAAUUAUUUAAAACAAAUGUUGUGGGGGAAAGAGCAUGCAUUUAAGGUAGUAAAAAUAUUCAGGACACACAAAGAGGGGGUGCAAACAGGUAAAACGACAGGGUUUCUGACCUCAGAGAGCUUCCUGAAGCUGUGCACACGCCUGUCAGGAAGGCGGUGGAAUGAGCAGAGCUUCGAGGGGCAGGUCAUGUCUCUACUGAGUGGAGCAGAGGAUGGGGUGUCUGCAAACAGUGAAUUUUAAGCCAUUUGUUUAGUCCACAUUACAGUGAAUCUAAAUAAGAGUUUGGAAAGCCAGUCACACCGGACUAUCUUCACUUCGUUUAACGAUAGACACAGGUAGGGACAGGGAACAGACGUCCCAAAUGGAUUCUCAGCCACAUGCUUGGAGACCCAGAGGAGCGAGCACAGGAGAUAGCAGCAAGGGCUUGGAACAGGCCAGGCUAUUCCAUCAUUUAAUUUAAAAGGGGAGGUGACUCCUGUUCACUCAGGAAAAAGUCAGGGGCAGGGCAGGUGCCAAAAGUACUGAGGUGAUGCAUUCUUCUAAUAUUGUUCAGAACAUGUCUUCACAUCUCAUCAAAACAGCUUACGAAAGCAGAAUAUUCAUCCUGUAGCUAAAUUCCAUGUUCAUGCAUUCAGGACCAGGCACAACUACCUUUACUCUCCAAUAUGGCCUGUCGGAUGAACACCCGUGAAUUUGAACCAAUAUUUACUGUUGCUCUUUGAAAAGAAGCAUUUUCAUCAUUGCUUUUGAUGGAAAGCAAAUUUAGCUAAUCUUCCAUUUUUUCUUUGCCUCCAGUAAUUCUGGUCUGCUCAAGGUAUUCAGCCAGCCAGCAGAGAUAGAAAAUAAAGAUCAAGCACAGUGGCUCAUACAUGUAAUCCCAGCACUUUGGGAAGCUAAGGUGGGUAGAUCACUUGAAGUAGAAGUUCAAGACCGGUCUGACCAACAUGGUGAAACGCCAUCUCUACUAAAAAUACAAAAUUAGCUGGGUGUGAUGGUACAUG
This 1656-nucleotide long non-coding RNA is filed under the name Macaca fascicularis (crab-eating macaque). RNAcentral describes it as "lncRNA (ENSMFAG00000063123.1)". Lineage: Eukaryota; Metazoa; Chordata; Mammalia; Primates; Cercopithecidae. The record is from RNAcentral.